GUCCUUGAAUGGCGAUGGAAGGCCCUAGAAACCCUUCACUUUCUUCCAGAAGCAGCGCGCUCAUAACGGUCUGGUUGCAGGUUCGAGUCCUGCCGGGCCCACCA
RNAcentral lists this transfer RNA (104 nucleotides) under Methylobacterium sp. R2-1. Its description in RNAcentral is "tRNA-OTHER". The record is from RNAcentral. Lineage: Bacteria; Pseudomonadati; Pseudomonadota; Alphaproteobacteria; Hyphomicrobiales; Methylobacteriaceae.